Molecule: transfer RNA, 39 nt
Filed under: Gerrhonotus sp. 2 CPV-2018
Lineage: Eukaryota; Metazoa; Chordata; Lepidosauria; Squamata; Anguidae
Description: partial tRNA-Leu
Source: RNAcentral
CUUUUAAAGGAUAGUAGUCAUCCACUGGCUUUAGGCGCC